UACGUAGGGACCAAGCGUUGUUCGGAUUUACUGGGCGUAAAGGGCGCGUAGGCGGCGCAAUAAGUCACUUGUGAAAUCUCCGGGCUUAACUCGGAGCGGCCAAGUGAUACUGUUGUGCUAGAGUGCAGAAAGGGCAAUCGGAAUUCUCGGUGUAGCGGUGAAAUGCGUAGAUAUCGAGAGGAACACCUGAGGCGAAGGCGGGUUGCUAGGCUGACACUGACGCUGAGGCGCGAAAGCUAGGGUAGCAAACAGG
RNAcentral lists this ribosomal RNA (253 nucleotides) under uncultured bacterium. RNAcentral's name for it is "partial 16S ribosomal RNA". It matches the Rfam family "Bacterial small subunit ribosomal RNA", at positions 524 to 776 of the family's 1533-position model. The record is from RNAcentral.